GAUGAACGCUGGCGGCAUGCCUAACACAUGCAAGUCGAUCGGUAAGGCUCUUCGGAGUACACGAGAGGCGGACGGCUGAGUAACGCGUAGGAACACACCCUGCAGUGAGGGAUAAGACACCGAAAGGUGUUCUAAUACCGCAUACGGUCUUCGGAUUAAAGCAUUUAUGCGCUGAAGGAGUGGCCUGCGUCAUAUUAGAUAGUUGGUGAGGUAAUGGCUCACCAAGUCGAUGAUGUGUAGCUGGUCUGAGAGGAUGAUCAGCCAGACUGGAACUGAGACACGGUCCAGACUCCUACGGGAGGCAGCAGUGAGGAAUAUUUCACAAUGAGCGAAAGCCUGAUGGAGCAAUGCCGCGUGCAGGAUGAAGGCCCUCGGGUUGUAAACUGCUUUUAUAAGAGAAGAUUAUGACGGUAACUUAUGAAUAAGGGACGGCUAACUACGUG
This 443-nucleotide ribosomal RNA is filed under the name uncultured bacterium. RNAcentral's name for it is "partial 16S ribosomal RNA". It matches the Rfam family "Bacterial small subunit ribosomal RNA", at positions 28 to 507 of the family's 1533-position model. The record is from RNAcentral.